This 1222-nucleotide ribosomal RNA is filed under the name Cytobacillus oceanisediminis. RNAcentral's name for it is "bacterial SSU rRNA". It matches the Rfam family "Bacterial small subunit ribosomal RNA", at positions 131 to 1338 of the family's 1533-position model. The record is from RNAcentral. Lineage: Bacteria; Bacillati; Bacillota; Bacilli; Caryophanales; Bacillaceae.
UGCAAGAGUGGGAUAUCUGCGUGAAUCCGCGGCUAAUACCGCAUAAUUGUCUUUUUCAGAUGAGCGAAUGGCGAUAGAUGGUUUCGUUUAUCACUUUCUGAUGGCAUUGCGGCGCAUCAGGUAGUUGGUCAGGUAUCUGUUCUCCAAGCCAACGAUGCGUAGCCGACCUGAGAGGGUGAUCGGCCACAGUGGGAUUGAGACACGGCCCAGAGUCCUACGGGAGGCAGCAGUAGGGAAUCUUCUGCAAUGGACGAAAGUCUGACGGAGCAACGCCGCGUGAGUGAUGAAGGUUUUCGGAUCGUAAAACUCUGUUGUUAGGGAAGAACAAGUACCGGAGUAACUGCCGGUACUUUGACGGUACCUAACCAGAAAGCCACGGCUAACUACGUGCCAGCAGCCGCGGUAAUACGUAGGUGGCAAGCGUUGUCCGGAAUUAUUGGGCGUAAAGCGCGCGCAGGCGGUUCCUUAAGUCUGAUGUGAAAGCCCCCGGCUCAACCGGGGAGGGUCAUUGGAAACUGGGGAACUUGAGUGCAGAAGAGAAGAGUGGAAUUCCACGUGUAGCGGUGAAAUGCGUAGAGAUGUGGAGGAACACCAGUGGCGAAGGCGACUCUUUGGUCUGUAACUGACGCUGAGGCGCGAAAGCGUGGGGAGCAAACAGGAUUAGAUACCCUGGUAGUCCACGCCGUAAACGAUGAGUGCUAAGUGUUAGAGGGUUUCCGCCCUUUAGUGCUGCAGCAAACGCAUUAAGCACUCCGCCUGGGGAGUACGGCCGCAAGGCUGAAACUCAAAGGAAUUGACGGGGGCCCGCACAAGCGGUGGAGCAUGUGGUUUAAUUCGAAGCAACGCGAAGAACCUUACCAGGUCUUGACAUCUCCUGACAACCCUAGAGAUAGGGCGUUCCCCUUCGGGGGACAGGAUGACAGGUGGUGCAUGGUUGUCGUCAUCUCGUGUCGUGAGAUGUUGGGUUAAGUCCCGCAACUAGCGCAACCCUUGAUCUUAUUUGCCAGCAUUCAGUUGGGCACUCUAAGGUGACUGCCGGUGACAAACCGGAGGAAGGUGGGGAUGACUUCAAGUCAUCAUGCCCCUUAUCACCUGGGCUACGCACGAGCUACAAUGGAUAGUACUGACGGCUGCUAGACCGCAAGGAUACGCAAAUCCCAUAAUACCUUUCUGACAUCAGAUUGCAGGAUACGUCUCUCCUGAAUGAUGCCCGAAACUCUAG